UGGGAUGGCAGAUGGAAUAAGAACUCCAGAA
This 31-nucleotide non-coding RNA is filed under the name Homo sapiens (human). The record is from RNAcentral. Lineage: Eukaryota; Metazoa; Chordata; Mammalia; Primates; Hominidae.